GACGAACGCUGGCGGCGUGCUUAACACAUGCAAGUCGAACGGAAAGGCCCUGCGUUUGUGGGGUGCUCGAGUGGCGAACGGGUGAGUAACACGUGAGUAACCUGCUCUUGACUUUGGGAUAACUUCAGGAAACUGGGGCUAAUACCGGAUAGGAGCUCCUGCUGCAGGGUGGGGGUUGGAAAGUUUCGGCGGGUGGGGAUGGACUCGCGGCUUAUCAGCUUGUUGGUGGGGUAGUGGCUUACCAAGGCUUUGACUGGUAGGCGGCCUGAGAGGGUGGCCGGGCACCUUGGGACUGCGAUACGGCCCAGAGUGCUACGGGAGGCAGCAGUGGGGAAUAUUGCCCAAUGGGACCAAGCCUGAUGCAGCAGCGCCGCGUGCGGGAUGACGGCCUUCGGGUUGAAAACCGCUUUCGCCUGUGACGAAGCGUGAGUGACGGUAAUGGGUAAAGAAGCACCGGCUAACUACGUG
RNAcentral lists this ribosomal RNA (468 nucleotides) under uncultured bacterium. RNAcentral describes it as "partial 16S ribosomal RNA". It matches the Rfam family "Bacterial small subunit ribosomal RNA", at positions 28 to 507 of the family's 1533-position model. The record is from RNAcentral.